Long non-coding RNA from Salvia miltiorrhiza (redroot sage), 1104 nucleotides. RefSeq lists it as uncharacterized. NCBI's taxonomy places the organism in Eukaryota, Viridiplantae, Streptophyta, Magnoliopsida, Lamiales, Lamiaceae. The transcript has 2 exons. The record is from RefSeq and is a predicted model, not a curated record.
UCUUCUUCAUGUUAUUCUUCAUCUUCAAUUCAUUGUUUUCUUCUCUUUUUAUUUAAAAAAAUGAAGUGUGAUAACAAUUGGUGGAACAACGAGAAACCCAAAUUAGUUCGAUGAUACUUUUCCAUCAAUCAAUUAAGAAUCAAACGCCUUCACUCUAGUGGGUCUUGAGAGAAUCAACUUGAACCAAAUUUUUGUUCAAGACGAUGACCAAGCAACGCGGCUAGGGAUGUCAAUCGGGCCAGUCCACCGAGUUUUGGGCCAAUCCUAUCGGAUUUCAGAUUAAUCAGGUUUCAGGCUAGAUUGACAUCCCUAAACGCGGCAGCUACACCCGAAGUCGGAGCUGAUAUGCACCUUGUGGGCCGAAGCUACCCUAAAUGCUGUGACAGACGCCGAUCAAAAGGUUCUUGUGUGUUGGGAAGCAAUCGUGAUGAAGUACAAUGAGCAACGGUCUUCCAACACCAUUUCACGCGAAGAAGAUCGAGUCGUUCUUCCACCGAGUGCAAAAUGAUGUAAAAGUUUGGGAGGCAGUAUACGAGAAAUGUCGUUCUAAUUGGGGGAGCUGCAUGAGCGAUGACCAAAUCACUACGGCAGCGCAACAAAUGCAUCACACUGAGCAGGGGUAUUUGUUCAAAUAUCCCCACUCUUGGCGUAUUAAUUCUAUGUGAGUCUCAAAGAUCCACAUCAUCUAGCAACGACGUCCACUCCUCCAAGCGUUCGAAGGGAUUUGAUGGGGUAUACACAGCGACUUCAAGCGAGCCGAGUAUCACAACAAGGCCUAUAGGCUAAAAGGCGGCGAAAAGAGACAAAGAAAAAGACCAAGUCGUCGCCAUAAGAGGAUAAACAAGUAAGAGCUAUUGUGACCAUGAAAAACAUGAUUAAAGUCAUAGAUGUUUACUCUCAAAUACAAUUGAACCUUGCCGACUCCAUCCUCAUAGGCAAGGAUACGUCGAUAAUAACUCUGGAAGAGUUGGAGCUUCACCAAAAAAUGAUUGCAACAUUUCACAUUCACCGAUGAUGGUGAAUUUUUAUUAUUAUUAUUAUUUUAUUUUUUAAUUAGUGUAUGGUUCAACUUUUAUUUUAAUGAAAUUAUAUUCUUAAAUUUAA